Molecule: ribosomal RNA, 263 nt
Filed under: uncultured bacterium
Lineage: Bacteria
Description: partial 16S ribosomal RNA
Rfam family: Bacterial small subunit ribosomal RNA
Source: RNAcentral
CGGUGCCUACGGGGGGCAGCAGUGGGGAAUAUUGCACAAUGGGGGAAACCCUGAUGCAGCAACGCCGCGUGAGUGAUGACGGCCUUCGGGUUGUAAAGCUCUGUCUUCAGGGACGAUAAUGACGGUACCUGAGGAGGAAGCCACGGCUAACUACGUGCCAGCAGCCGCGGUAAUACGUAGGUGGCGAGCGUUGUCCGGAUUUACUGGGCGUAAAGGGCGCGUAGGCGGAUUUUUAAGUGAGAUGUGAAAUACUCGGGCUCAAC